AAUACGUUCCCGGGCCUUGUACACACCGCCCGUCAAGCCAUGGAAGCUGGGGGUACCUGAAGUCGGUCGCCGCAAGAAGCUGCCUAGGGUAAAACUGGUAACUGGGGCU
This 109-nucleotide ribosomal RNA is filed under the name uncultured bacterium. RNAcentral describes it as "partial 16S ribosomal RNA". It matches the Rfam family "Bacterial small subunit ribosomal RNA", at positions 1365 to 1482 of the family's 1533-position model. The record is from RNAcentral.